Molecule: non-coding RNA, 85 nt
Organism: Plenodomus tracheiphilus IPT5
Lineage: Eukaryota; Fungi; Ascomycota; Dothideomycetes; Pleosporales; Leptosphaeriaceae
Source: the annotation of a GenBank genome assembly
GGUUUUGUAGUGUAGCGGUUAUCACUCCAGAUUCUGAUCAGUUCUCAGUGUUCUGGUAACCCCGGUUCGAUUCCGGGCAAGACCU